RNAcentral lists this small RNA (1622 nucleotides) under Histoplasma capsulatum var. duboisii H88. Its description in RNAcentral is "Histoplasma capsulatum H88 hypothetical RNA". The record is from RNAcentral. Lineage: Eukaryota; Fungi; Ascomycota; Eurotiomycetes; Onygenales; Ajellomycetaceae.
UCAGGCCUUCUUUAUCUAACUUCUAAGCUAGAAAUGGGUAGGAAUCGCUCUGCCAUACAGCCUACGGCGUACAUGCCGAACCGAGUCGCUUUUGUUCACCAAAUGCUUCUUUGGCCCCCAAGUGCCGUGGUGGCCGAUGUUCAUGUCUACCUCUCUAGCGGUCAACCACAAGGGCCCAAGGGAAUAUGAACGAAAACAUGUGGGCGCCAAAUUGUCCGCGAUGGUCAUGGUGAUGAUACCUUUGAGUACGAGACAAUAAUAUUAUCAACAAAAGCGAUAGAGGCUUAAGGAACCAUCGGAACAGCUUUCCGCCUCCGGAUCCACUCCCAGCUGCCCAGGUUAUUCGGCAGCGUGGCCAGCUGCAAAUGCAACUGCUGUGCCAGCCUGGCGAGGGGUUUCCUCGCUGUGGCUCCUUGCUGGCCCCGCCAACAAUAAUAACAAGGAUCAGACAGAACAAGUAAACUCCGUCUCUCCCAACAAUAUCUCAAAGCGUUUCCCCAUUGACCUCGUGUUCCCGGUCACCUUGUUCUCUGAAGUGAUCAUCUCAACCACCUCUUGGGAGGCACUGUAGAAUCCAGCCUUCGCGAACAUCUGCGCCACCCCCCGCUUUCCAAUGUUGCUCCCCGUCAUUAUCCAGAAACUGAUGGAUUCGCCGCAAAAGUUUAAACACACCAGCCAAACCCCCUCUUUGUUUAAAAAAAAAUAAAAAAAUAAAAAAUUCUAGGCCCAUCAUCCGGAUCCUUAAUCCAAUGGUUUCUGCGAGUCAUCCCAGGUCAAGCUCCCACCUCAUGAUCAUGAAGAGCGAUUGACCUCGCACAAUAGAGCUGCCAAAGCCUAUAGGGCUAUCUAUCGGCCUAAGGCUCCAUAAUAAUAAUAAAACCACUAUUGUACAUACAUACGCUAACCCUGCGGGAAUUCCGCUACAGGGAUCUGGAUCUGAAGGAUUCAUUCUGUGGCCUGAAAGCCUAGCGAUUUGGCUCUGAACAAAAAGAAAAGAAAAGAAAAAUGAAAUCCUUCAGCAAUCAUGUCAGCUUUGUUGGGUAUAAUUAAAAAUAUUCAAACAAAGCUGUAUUUUCAUCCAGGGCCUACAGAUGCGCAUGGUACACUUAUGAACCAAUGACCACUACAUGGCUGGGAACAACAUGGCUUUUCCUUUUUCCAAAGUGUUCUGGAGCAAUAAUUUGACAUUGUAAGAUCUGUGUUUAUUGUUUGAUUUUUCUCUUCUCUUCAACCUGUCUCUCAUGUUCGGUUCCCAAACUCAUCCACUUUUGCAAAAAAAAAAAAGCAAAUCUGAAUUGGCCACAUUGAUAACAGGCAAAACUCAGCCAAUGAAAUUCUCACCUCUUGAUUGAUGAGUUCCCAAGCGCAUUUUACUUUGACAGGAAAAUGCCAAAUCCAACAGCUUAAUCCUUAGUUUAAAAUGCGUUUUCGCUAACUCCUUCUCUCCUCAGGAUAGUUUGUUGUUGGCACAAACAUGAACUAGCAUUCGCCAAGCGAUCAAGAAUACUGUGCGAUGAAGACAAUUCAAUUAUCUCAGACAAAGAGAGAAAUUGAUACGAGAGCCAAAAAGCAAAUUGGCAAACACAUCAAAGGUUGCAUAAUUGCGCGUUCGAAUCCAGCCC